UAGGGAAUCUUCGGCAAUGGACGAAAGUCUGACCGAGCAACGCCGCGUGAGUGAAGAAGGUUUUCGGAUCGUAAAACUCUGUUGUUAGAGAAGAACAAGGACGUUAGUAACUGAACGUCCCCUGACGGUAUCUAACCAGAAAGCCACGGCUAACUACGUGCCAGCAGCCGCGGUAAUACGUAGGUGGCAAGCGUUGUCCGGAUUUAUUGGGCGUAAAGCGAGCGCAGGCGGUUUCUUAAGUCUGAUGUGAAAGCCCCCGGCUCAACCGGGGAGGGUCAUUGGAAACUGGGAGACUUGAGUACAGAAGAGGAGAGUGGAAUUCCAUGUGUAGCGGUGAAAUGCGUAGAUAUAUGGAGGAACACCAGUGGCGAAGGCGGCUCUCUGGUCUGUAACUGACGCUGAGGCUCGAAAGCGUGGGGAGCAAACAGG
RNAcentral lists this ribosomal RNA (429 nucleotides) under Gemmatimonadota bacterium. Its description in RNAcentral is "Gemmatimonadetes bacterium partial 16S ribosomal RNA". It matches the Rfam family "Bacterial small subunit ribosomal RNA", at positions 355 to 776 of the family's 1533-position model. The record is from RNAcentral. Lineage: Bacteria; Pseudomonadati; Gemmatimonadota.